Temnothorax curvispinosus is the source of this 2152-nucleotide long non-coding RNA. RefSeq lists it as uncharacterized. The transcript is spliced from 3 exons. NCBI's taxonomy places the organism in Eukaryota, Metazoa, Arthropoda, Insecta, Hymenoptera, Formicidae. The record is from RefSeq and is a predicted model, not a curated record.
UCGGAAUAAAUCACAUUAUUGUCGAUGAAGUUUAUUUUUAGUAUUGGUGGUGUCGUGCACAGGGAGAACAGGCAGGCAGAGGCAGGCAGGCAGGCAGGCAAGCAGAUAUGCGUCGCUGCAUCUCUCGAUCCCGCCGCCGCGCCGAUUGUAUCGCGCGACGGAGUGCGCGUUCGCGUGCAUUCACAAUGCAACACGCACGGUCGGCGCGGAUACCGGUUGCUGGAAAAUAUACUGCGAUCGGACGAGCGGAAUGGGCGCGGAAGGCACGAAAGAGGCGAGCGCAGCGGGGUCGUGAAAACUGUCGAUGCGGAACGACACUGCCAAGGCAAAUAGUUGCCUCGCGCUCGCCAUCGACGGCGGAAAGCUGCGCGACGAAUCUCUCUCUCUCCCCAUGGAUAUCUCUUCCCUCCUGAAUUAUUCCAGAACUUGUAACGGAACUCCAAAUUACGUGUCACAAACAAUGGGAUUAAUAGUCGGUCGUGAAAUAUAAAUUAGCGUAACCGAAGUAGAGAGAAGAGAAGGACGAGCUGCUCGAUUACGAAUGCAACGCGCGCGGGAGGUACGACGUUCCUCUUCAUCGAUAGCUCCCUUUCCCGUGAUCCCGCGACCGGUUAUUGCAUUUCCGGCCGAAUACGCUUCGAUAACGCCGAGAUUGUACAGUGAGAAUACAGUUUGAUAAGAAGAAGAAGGAACGGUAUAUCGUUAAACGGUAUCGUCAAAAAUUUUGAUGACGUGUCGAGAGGCAGGAUCGGGAGAAAAUUGCGAGGGUUAACGACGGUCUCGCAAUUAGAAGAGGAUCGAUCUAGCGCGACGGCCACACGGGAUUGAGGACUUUCUACUCCGUCUCCGUUAUAGCGUAACGGUAUAUCGCGAUACUCUGGUGUACUGUCGGCCACUGUACCGGCCUUACAUAUGUGUAUGCAUACGUACAUCGAUAGCGACAGGAUGUCGGUAACCGCAAAUGACAGCGACGACGAGGACGACGACAGUGAGACGCGAUUUCUAACGCGAAGUGCAAACAGUAAAGCACGUAUAAUAUGGCAUUCCAACACGUCUCCCGAGAAACGCCUAACGAAAGCACGUACCUGCUUGAUUUCCCUCUACGGCUGCAAUAUUGUUACUUAUGUAUAUACAGGAAGUCUUAAAAUAGAUCUUAUUGCCGAAAAGAAGAUAUAAUAUAAAAAAAUAAAAUCAAAAUUCAAAUUUUCGCAUGAAGCGUCAUACUUUUAAGAAAAGUGACCUUAAAAAUCAAAGAAUAACACUUAUAUACGCUUAAGUUUGAUGGCUAUUACAUAUAAAUAAAAAAAAUACAUUUUCUCUUUCUCUCUCUCUCUCUCUCAAUUUAAUAGAACAAUAUAAAAUAAUAAACAAUAUAAAUUACUAGAAAGAUUUUAUCUAUGAAAUAUCAAGAUCAUUUUUAUUUCUUCAAUGUUGUGUCUAUUUAUAGGGAAACGUGCUUAUUUGGAUCCUGAUAAAGCAAUAAUAUCAGAUCCCGACAACUAAAUCAGGCAAACCUUAUAUGAUCCUCACUUGGAUCCUACCUUAAUUUCUAGUCGGGAUAAUGCAAAGUCUACAGAAAUUAUUCAAGUUUAAAAAAGUAUCAGUAUAUAUUAUCUAUUAAUUAUCAGUUAUUUUUCGCAAAAAAGAAUCUCUGACGAAGAAAUAGUAGUAGCUGUACAUUCUAAUGUGGAAUAACUUCAAAUAAUUAUAUUUAUAUUUGGAAACUUGAGUACAAUGUAUUUUAUAAGUUAUAUGAUUGUUUUCUUCAUUAUAACGGUAUAUUUGUUUUAAAACUGAUCUUGAAUCUUUCUUUUCUUUCCUUCUAUUUCCUUUCAGAUGCAUUACAAUACAAGUAUAAAAAACUAACUUCUUUUUAAAAAAAAAAAUAGAAAAAUCAAUAUUUGGCAAGAAUUCGCGAGUGCUUAUCAUUUUCCAUAAAUCGCAAACAUGUUUCGUAAAAAUGUGAUAAAACGACGGUUGGGAUAUGCAACACGGCAUUUUCGGAUUGACACCUUCGUGCAAAAAUUUAUCGCACUUACCCGAGGAUCAUAAAAUAAUUUAUCGAUGAUCGAAAAAAAUGUCAGUUGCACCAGGCGAGUAAAUUUCAUACUAAAUCGCACUAUAAUAACAAAUAUAAUAACUUCGUUAUAUA